RNAcentral lists this ribosomal RNA (548 nucleotides) under uncultured Glomeromycotina. RNAcentral describes it as "SSU rRNA". It matches the Rfam family "Eukaryotic small subunit ribosomal RNA", at positions 548 to 1098 of the family's 1831-position model. Lineage: Eukaryota; Fungi; Glomeromycota. The record is from RNAcentral.
UUGGAGGGCAAGUCUGGUGCCAGCAGCCGCGGUAAUUCCAGCUCCAAUAGCGUAUAUUAUAGUUGUUGCAGUUAAAAAGCUCGUAGUCGAAUUUCGGGAUCAAUAUGUUGGUCGUGCCCUUGGUACGUACUAGUUUAUUGGUUUCUUCCUUCUGACGAACCAUGAUGUCAUUAAUUUGGUGUCUUGGGGAAUCAGGACUGUUACUUUGAAAAAAUUAGAGUGUUUAAAGCAGGCUCACGCUUGAAUACAUUAGCAUGGAAUAAUGAAAUAGGACGUUUGAUUCUAUUUUGUUGGUUUCUAGGAUCGACGUAAUGAUUAAUAGGGAUAGUUGGGGGCAUUAGUAUUCAAUUGUCAGAGGUGAAAUUCUUGGAUUUAUUGAAGACUAACUACUGCGAAAGCAUUUGCCAAGGAUGUUUUCAUUAAUCAAGAACGAAAGUUAGGGGAUCGAAGACGAUCAGAUACCGUCGUAGUCUUAACCAUAAACUAUGCCGACUAGGGAUCGGAUGAUGUUAAUUUUUUAAUGACUCAUUCGGCGCCUUACGGGAAAC